This is a small nucleolar RNA of Moschus moschiferus (Siberian musk deer), 134 nucleotides long. Its record names the gene SNORA70. It matches the Rfam family "Small nucleolar RNA SNORA70". Rfam says of the family: snoRNA U70 seems to be exclusive to mammals and is a member of the H/ACA class of snoRNA which contain H (ANANNA) and ACA box motifs. H/ACA box snoRNAs are involved in the conversion of uridines to pseudouridines (5-ribosyluracil) a constituent of structural RNAs (transfer, ribosomal, small nuclear, and small nucleolar). The record is from Ensembl. NCBI's taxonomy places the organism in Eukaryota, Metazoa, Chordata, Mammalia, Artiodactyla, Moschidae.
CUGAAUGACUGUCCAUUUUAAAACACCAUCUCUCAAGGGGGCCCAGUGUGCAACAGCUGCAAACAGCAGCCUUCUCAGUAGUGUACGCAGCCUGUUGCCCAUACAGGUUGCCUUAAGGGACCUUGAAGAUAGAU